Molecule: transfer RNA, 74 nt
Filed under: Metarhizium robertsii ARSEF 23
Lineage: Eukaryota; Fungi; Ascomycota; Sordariomycetes; Hypocreales; Clavicipitaceae
Also listed under: 2 other names
Description: tRNA-Leu (TAA) (tRNA-Leu-TAA-2-1)
Rfam family: tRNA
About the family: Transfer RNA (tRNA) molecules are approximately 80 nucleotides in length. Their secondary structure includes four short double-helical elements and three loops (D, anti-codon, and T loops).
Source: RNAcentral
ACCAAGAUGGCCGAGGGGUUAAGGCGGUGGACUUAAGAUCGAGAGAUUCCUGGGUUCGAACCCCAGUCUUGGUA